CCUACGGGAGGCUGCAGUAGGGAAUUUUGCGCAAUGGGGGAAAGCCUGACGCAGCAACGCCGCGUGAUCGAUGAAGCCCUUCGGGGUGUAAAGAUCUGUCAGUGGGGACGAAACCUGACGGUACCCACAGAGGAAGCACCGGCUAACUCCGUGCCAGCAGCCGCGGUAAUACGGGGGGUGCAAGCGUUGUCCGGAAUCAUUGGGCGUAAAGAGUUCGUAGGUGGGACGUUAAGUCUGGUGUUAAAGGCGGAAACUCAACUUCCGUAGGGCACUGGAUACUGGCGAGCUUGAAUGCGGUAGAGGUAAAGGGAAUUCCUGGUGUAGCGGUGAAAUGCGUAGAUAUCAGGAGGAACAUCGGUGGCGUAAGCGCUUUACUGGGCCGUAAUUGACACUGAGGAACGAAAGCCGGGGUAGCAAAUGGGAUUAGAUACCCGGGUAGUC
RNAcentral lists this ribosomal RNA (441 nucleotides) under uncultured bacterium. RNAcentral's name for it is "partial 16S ribosomal RNA". It matches the Rfam family "Bacterial small subunit ribosomal RNA", at positions 338 to 795 of the family's 1533-position model. The record is from RNAcentral.